UGAGGAAUAUUGGACAAUGGGCGCAAGCCUGAUCCAGCAAUGCCGCGUGCAGGAUGAAGGCCUUCGGGUUGUAAACUGCUUUUGUACGGAGCGAAAAGGUCUGCCCUAAUACGGUGGGCUCAUGACGGUACCGUAAGAAUAAGCACCGGCUAACUACGUGCCAGCAGCCGCGGUAAUACGUAGGGUGCGAGCGUUAAUCGGAAUUACUGGGCGUAAAGCGUGCGCAGGCGGUUAUAUAAGACAGAUGUGAAAUCCCCGGGCUCAACCUGGGACCUGCAUUUGUGACUGUAUAGCUAGAGUACGGUAGAGGGGGAUGGAAUUCCGCGUGUAGCAGUGGAAUGCGUAGAUAUGCGGAGGAACACCGAUGGCGAAGGCAAUCCCCUGGACCUGUACUGACGCUCAUGCACGAAAGCGUGGGGAGCAAACA
Molecule: ribosomal RNA, 427 nt
Filed under: uncultured bacterium
Lineage: Bacteria
Description: bacterial SSU rRNA
Rfam family: Bacterial small subunit ribosomal RNA
Source: RNAcentral